RNAcentral lists this ribosomal RNA (439 nucleotides) under uncultured bacterium. RNAcentral describes it as "partial 16S ribosomal RNA". It matches the Rfam family "Bacterial small subunit ribosomal RNA", at positions 338 to 795 of the family's 1533-position model. The record is from RNAcentral.
CCUACGGGUGGCAGCAGUGGGGGAUAUUGCACAAUGGGGGGAACCCUGAUGCAGCGACGCCGCGUGGGUGAAGAAGCGCCUCGGCGCGUAAAGCCCUGUCAGCAGGGAAGAAAAUGACGGUACCUGAAGAAGAAGCAUCGGCUAACUCCGUGCCAGCAGCCGCGGUAAUACGGAGGAUGCGAGCGUUAUCCGGAUUUAUUGGGUUUAAAGGGUGCGCAGGCGGCCUGUUAAGUCAGCGGUAAAAGCCCGGGGCUCAACCCCGGCGAGCCGUUGAAACUGGCGGGCUGGAGUUGGAGAGAAGUACGCGGAAUGCGCGGUGUAGCGGUGAAAUGCUUAGAUAUCGCGCAGAACCCCGAUUGCGAAGGCAGCGUACCGGCUCCACACUGACGCUGAGGCACGAAAGCGUGGGUAUCGAACAGGAUUAGAUACCCCAGUAGUC